GAUGAACGCUAGCGAUAGGCUUAACACAUGCAAGUCGAGGGGCAGCACAAGGUAGCUUGCUAUCUGGGUGGCGACCGGCGCACGGGUGCGUAACGCGUAUGCAACUUGCACUAUACAGGAGGAUAACCCGUCGAAAGACGGACUAAUACUGCGUAUGCUCACAACUUGGCAUCAAGUGGUGAGGAAAGAAAUUCGGAAUAGGAUAGGCAUGCGUCCCAUUAGCUUGUUGGUGAGGUAACGGCUCACCAAGGCAACGACGGGUAGGGGAACUGAGAGGUUUAUCCCCCACACUGGUACUGAGACACGGACCAGACUCCUACGGGAGGCAGCAGUGAGGAAUAUUGGCCACUGGGCGCGAGCCUGAACCAGCCAAGUCGCGUGAAGGAUGACUGUCUUAUGGAUUGUAAACUUCUUUUAUACGGGAAUAACAAGAGUCACGUGUGACUCCCUGCAUGUACCGUAUGAAUAAGCAUCGGCUAACUCCGUG
This 487-nucleotide ribosomal RNA is filed under the name uncultured bacterium. RNAcentral describes it as "partial 16S ribosomal RNA". It matches the Rfam family "Bacterial small subunit ribosomal RNA", at positions 28 to 507 of the family's 1533-position model. The record is from RNAcentral.